AGCAGCCGCGGUAAUUCCAGCUCCAAUAGCGUAUAUUAAAGUUGUUGCAGUUAAAAAGCUCGUAGUUGAAUUUCGAGAUCAAAUUGUUGGUCGUGCCUUGGUACGCACUGGCAUUAUUGGUUUCUCCCUUCUGACAAACCAUGAUGUCAUUAAUUUGGUGUCUUGGGGAAUCAGGACUGUUACUUUGAAAAAAUUAGAGUGUUUAAAGCAGGCUCACGCUUGAAUACAUUAGCAUGGAAUAAUGAAAUAGGACGUUUGAUUCUAUUUUGUUGGUUUCUAGGAUCGACGUAAUGAUUAAUAGGGAUAGUUGGGGGCAUUAGUAUUCAAUUGUCAGAGGUGAAAUUCUUGGAUUUAUUGAAGACUAACUACUGCGAAAGCAUUUGCCAAGGAUGUUUUCAUUAAUCAAGAACGAAAGUUAGGGGAUCGAAGACGAUCAGAUACCGUCGUAGUCUUAACCAUAAACUAUGCCGACUAGGGAUCGGAUGAUGUUAAUUUUUUUAAUGACUCAUU
Molecule: unclassified non-coding RNA, 510 nt
Filed under: uncultured Glomus
Lineage: Eukaryota; Fungi; Glomeromycota; Glomeromycetes; Glomerales; Glomeraceae
Description: SSU rRNA
Rfam family: Eukaryotic small subunit ribosomal RNA
Source: RNAcentral